UGGCUCAGGCCAUAGAGCAUGUGACUCUCGAUCCUGGGGUUGUGAGUUCAAGCCCCACACUGGGUGUAGAAUUUAAAUAAAGAGAAAAUUAAAAAAAAAACAAAAAUGAUUAGCUUUGCUUAGCUCGGGGCAAAUACAAAAAGAAGCAUUGGGCUGGAUUUGGCACUCAGGCUGCAGUUUGCUACCACUGGUCUAGAGACCAAUAGACCAAACUGGAACCAAUCUACAACAAAAUGGAAAAAAAAAACCAAAAAACAAAGCACUAUGCAGUACUCAUGUGAAUCAAUGCAGGGUGGCUUAGAACUGUUAUUUAUUCUGUUAUUUAUUCUGACAUUAUAUGUUUCCUAUUUUGUGUGUGCUAAAAUGUACUUCCUUUUGUGAAAUGAUGGUGAUAAUAAAUAGCAAUUGGUGCUAGUAGUUUUUUUAAUGUCCUUACUUGGCAAAAUAGAACACUGGCAAUUCUACAUCAGUCCCCCAACAUUUUUUUUUUUCUGGAAAUUUUACAGCUCUGAAAUCCAAAGUCUAAGAUUUCACUACUCCAGACUAAGUAAACAUGCUUUUCUCCUCCAAAGCCAAAAGUCUGGACUUUUUGGAUUUGGAGGUCUGAUCUUGAUCUCAAGUCACAGGACGAGGUAAAUAAAUCACCAGAAAACUUAAUCCUGGGGAAAGAAGCUCUUCUAAGAAUUCUUGCUUCCAAACCAUUAGAUUUUUAAACUGUGGUAAUCCCUGAACUAAGACAUAUAAGGGCCCUGAUACCAAACAGUAAAGGCGCAGAGGGAGAAAGGUGGAGCUGCCCACUGUUGAGAGCACUUAGGAAAACCGUGGGACCCAUAAAUUAAGUCCCUAAACAAUCCUCUGCCUUUUUUAUCCAUAAUGGGCUAAUGAUCAUUUCCUUUUGCCCUCUGGCCAAGGGUAUGGAUGGAGUUAAAGCCAAUACUAUCACUACUCUAAGGAUUUAGGAUGGCGAAUUCCAUUUCUAUGACCUACAUUCUUGGAACUGAGUGUCUAUGGUGUGGAAAGAGCAGGUAGUAAGCCCUGUUACCUGUCUGGGUGUUGGUUUUCCCAGACCAGAAAAAAAAUUGAAGUAGAUCAUCACUAAGGCCCUUCCAGUUUAAAGACUGUAUGAAGCUCUGUUUUCCAGCUAACAGUAGGGCAGAACUAGGUAGUAAAAAGAGGCUUGUUUUGGCUUCUCCCCAAGGAAAGAGGCUUCAUCUGGGCGGCUUCCUGAGGCUCUUGGAAAGGUAAAUAAAGACUGGGGUUGCAUGGCUGGCAUUAGCCCAGCUCCACAUGGCUCCGAAAUGAGACCAUGGGGGAGAGGCCACCUUUCCCUUCUCCGAGAGGAUGGGGGAUGGGAAACCAGCAUGGAGCCACGGAGGUUUCCGGCUCCGAAGCCCGAUAUGGCUCAGAGCUCUUUCUGGCAGAAACUCUACCCUGCGUUCCAGGCCUCCGCGAGCAGGACGCGCGUGUGCCGCUCCCCUUCUCCCCUCUGCAGGGCCCUCUCUGAGGGCAGGACACACCCUCUCUGCUGCCUCUUUUUUUUCUUUUUAGUAAAAUCACAACUCAAAUUUGGGUAUUUUUCUCCUAUUGCCAGCCCCGCCAAAACUUUCAGCAGGCUCCGCCCACUCCACGUGGACCUCCCUUCCCUGUCCCAGCAACCCCUUCGAGAACCCCCCCCCAACACGUGACCAAUUGUUAUGUUUCCUUCCUGGGGCUCCCUUUUCUCUGGCACCAAUGACUGAACAAAAGUGCCCCCUUCAGGGUGAAUGUGGGGCAGCAACCUGGGGAGGAAGAGAAAAGUUGAUUGAGGUGUGCAAUUCAAGAAGGGAAUGUGACUGUAUCUACUUAAAAUGAUUUCAUGCCGUGUAGCUCACUGCUUAAUAACAUUAAGGAUCAUGCAAUUUAAAAGAUGAGGUGGGGUGCCUGGGUGGCUCACUUGGUAGGUCCUCCUGCUCUUGAUUUCAGCUCAGGUCAUGAUCUUUUGGUUCGUGGGUUUGAGUCGGAGGGUUGGGCUCCUUCUGACCGUGCAGAGCCUGCUUGAGAUUCUCUCUUCCCUGCUCACGUGCUCUUUCUCUCUCUAAAAAAAUGAACUUAAAAAAUAAAAGUAAAUAAAACAGGCAAUUCAGGAGAAGGGAUAUCAUCAAAGAAAACGACUUUGGAGGUGGAGUUGGGUAAAGUUUUAGUCCCUCACUGCACAGUUGGUUACCUCUAAUCCAACUGCUAUUUCCCUUAAAGUUCUUCGUUGUUCUUGGCAGAGCUGAGAUCCGCAGAUACCAGAAAAGAACCAAGAGUUCUUUAAUUACCGGCUGGAUAAUGGGAACACGGCCUCUCCUAGAGUGAAUGUUUUGCUUCUUGCCUCCUCCACCACCUCCCCUUCCCCAACAACACUGGAAGCAGUUAUUCCUCUGUGCUAUUUCCAGAGUCCCGGGCCUAGCGGAGGAAAAGGGAGGGGCCCUGGUGGAAAGACGGAGGGAGACGCGUUGAGCUCCUCCCCCUGCCCAGCUGCAGUUCCAGAGUUUCGCCACUCUGGGUCUCCCGAGCUCAACCACAGCCCCAGAGUAAGGAAGGAAGAGAGAGAACCUCCAGAGGACAGCGUGAGACGUCAUUGACAACCCUGCUCAGAGAGGUGACCUGGAGGUCAUCUGCUCUGAAGCUGCAGACCCUUCGCAUGGCCGUUGGGAAGGCAUCCAGCCUCAACCCUUCUCUCUAAAAAGGACUUGUGGCGCUGGGAACUAGCUCUCCACCUCUUACCCUCACCCUCUUCUCUGUGGUCAUUUCCUCCCCCGCGUGUUUCCUUCCCUUCUCGCUGUCCUCUGGGUGGGAGCACCACCACUAUCUCCCCCCAACCCCCCAGCCUGUCAGAGUCCUGAGGAAUGCUCUCACCCUGGCUGGGUGCCAGGCUGUGGACUUCCUGGGCUUUGGGGGUGGGGCUUGGUGGAGGGGAAGCCCUUUGGAGAGAGAGAGCCAUCCAGUCCGGCACUGCCUGCCUGCUUGCUCUCCCUCCCCUUCAUGAGCUCGGGCUCGUUCGCUCACACGCCCUCUCUCCCUCCCUCCCCCCCCCCCCCCCCAAGUAAAAGGCUCAUCUAUCAUUCUCUGUCACCACCACCUAAUUUCUCCCCCUACAAUAGCAUUUCCUUGCCAGGGCAAAACAUCCACAAUCUGGAGGCGAUGGGCAUGCUAAAUACUGUGGUUUAUAGUGAGAGAGAGGGAAAACACCUAUUUCAGAACCUGCCUUCCUGUGCCAGGAGCCUGUAGCUGGAAGGAGAGGUUCAACUGCCAGGGUCCUGAGGCUCAAGGACAGACAACAGGUCGUUGCCAGACCUGGACCUGGAAGAGAAAACCAGCAGUAGGCUCCAGCAGCAACAUAGCAAAGGUUGGACAAGAUGGCCUUGGCAUAGCAUGUGCUGGCUGCCACCACCCCAACCCGGGAGGAAGACCCCCAUGCCAGAAAGAGGAUGAUCUGAGACCUAGUCUUCCACUGCCAAGGACAGCCCAUGCACCUCCUGGAUCCUGUGAUGCGAGUGGGAUCCUGGGCUCUGGAAGGAGAAUCCUCCUUCCGGUUCCCCAAAGCAUCUACUGCAGAAGCAUUGGCCUAGGAUGGUGGAUAACUCUCGAAGGACUGUACUUAGAAGUGCACAUUGCUCAAGCAGGUAAAUGGAGAAGUGGGAUGUUAUUCCUAAGUAGUUUGUACACAAUUUCUUUAGAGGCCUUCCCCACUCUCAUUGAACUAAUCCAUUCUUUUUCAUUUUUUUAAUUAAAAUUUUUUAUUUUAUUUAUUAUUUUUUA
Molecule: long non-coding RNA, 3783 nt
Organism: Felis catus (domestic cat)
Lineage: Eukaryota; Metazoa; Chordata; Mammalia; Carnivora; Felidae
Exons: 3
Source: RefSeq, a predicted model, not a curated record